CCAGAUCGGAUAACUGAACCUUGGCCGCUUCGAUCCCGAUUGUUCCCAUGUUCUGCCCGCCCAGCGUUUCCUGCGCUUUCUCUAGCACAGACUGCAGGUAUUUGCCUUGAGCCUCUAUCCUCAGCUGCAAAUGCCGUUGCACCUAUGUGUGUGUGUGUGUGGUAGAUAGAGUUAAUUAAGACAAGGCCGUUUUUGUUGAUGGAAAUGUGUGUUAUUGUCGUGUUUGAUUACCUCGAGCUGUUCGUGUAGCCUUCGUUGCACUUGAAUCUGCAUUUGUAUGGCUUCCCCUAAGUGCAUGUUUCUGGUAAAACAUCGCAAAUGUAAGUAACAUGAAAAGGUAAUUACAUAUAUGUCCUAAUAAGCUCCUCUUUUUCUCUUACUUAUUUGUCUGGUUUGCUGUGUUUGAAUUGUUCGUUUGCGCUCCGUUUUCCGCCGGCAUUGCUGCAAUCAGAGCUUGUUUGAGUAUGUAUGUGACAUAUAUAUACACAAAACUUCAUUGGUUUCGAGAAAUUAUAGGAUCUCUUACCACUAAUUUUGUUGCUCCCACAGUAAGCUUGUCCGUGAAUGUUUUUACUCAGCCUGUAUUUCUGCCGCCAGAAAAAUUGGGAAUUGAGACUUUACACAACAUGUUGUGUUAUGAUUUCUUCCAAAAACUGGGGAAAAUAGAUGAUAUAUUUACCUGAAGGUGACUCUUCAAGUGGUAUAAAGUUAGGCCUUGAAUUCCCAUAAGUUUCAAGACUGAUUUUGGAGUGGCUUCUGCAUUUUCAUACCAAAUUAGGUCAUGAAUCAAUUCUAUUCUAUAUCUGAUUAUGAUUUAUGAAUUGGGAUAUGCUUACUCUCUGCUCCGCCAAGUUGGUUCACUGCUUCAAUGAAGCGUUCGUGCAGGUCCGGAGUCCAUUUCAGCCUCGGCUUAGCAUCCGUGGAGAGUACAAGCCCUGAAUCCUCGCCUCCGCCUUGAAGGUACAACUGCCUCUCCGACAUUCUUGUCGAAGCUUGCAUGCUCUUCCCUUGCUGCUGAUACAUUCUGUUUCCAAAUAUAGAAACCGAUGUGAACUAUGUUGCUGCUCUAUUCUGCAUAAUCUAUAAUGUUACACUCCUUCCUCAACUAGCUGUUGUUGUAUGUUACUCCUUUUCUUUUCUUUUUUUACGUAUGGAAGUUGGGUGCAGGGAUGUCUUAAUAUAAACAUAUCAAGAGAGAGAGUGAGGGAGAGGGGAAAAGGUGGGAGUGAAACACAAGUGAAGAAUAGAAUCUUGAACAGGGCCAGAGCACAAGAGAGAGAAGAUUCAAUUCCAAUUCUCAGACAGCUGCACCAGCCAUGUAAGAAUCCCUCUUCACAUAUGACUUUGUUGAAAAAUUUAACACCUUACAAACAGGUGCAGGAAUAGAUCCCACACUCAUAUAAAUUUUCUCUGUGAUUAUGCGAACCUUAUUCCUGGAAUUAAUGGGUGGAAUAUAUAUUUUUCUCCCCCCAACCCCCCUAUUUGAUGUGAAUUGAAGGAAUCCACUAUCUAUGAUAUUAUGUCCCCAAACAAGUUCAUUUUUUUCCUCAUUGCCAAGAUUCUGUUGACUGAGGCAUCAAUGUUAAUCUUGAUAAUAUUGGAAAACCAAACCUCUAUAUAUCAGAUGAUGAAUCACCUCAUUUACUUGAUUUGUGGAGGGGGUGGGGUCAAUGGUAUCUAUUCUCUUGAAAAAAAUUGAUUCCCAAUGUUGCCAUAGUUUUGCUUAUUUGUUAGAACAUAUCCAUCCAAUCUUGAUCAUAUAUAUGGCAUCAAGAAGUUGGCCCAAACUUAUAGGGACCCCUCAAAAAAAGAAACUACGUACCUAGAGAGAACUUAGUCCUCUUUUUUCUGCCCCUACUCGUAGACGUGUUAUAGCUAAAUCUCAUUCUUAUUUAAUCGUUUGAUUAUUGCACUACUGCUUGGAGCUUCUGUACUUUGACAUUGAUUUAGAGACAUACAUAUUAAUCUAUCUAAUCAAUGCAAUACCAUCCACAUCAAUGCUGAUAAUGGCAUUUAAGCCCCAAUAUCUGGUAAUGUAAAAAUAUUGCCAAAACUAAACCCAUAAAUCUUGCUAAAAAAUAUGUACCAUCUGAUGCAAAAGGAAAUAAUAUUCUGAGCAUUAAGCUUUUUAGGAAAGAUCAUUUGAUUCUGAUAUGUUUGGAUAUUUAAUGCAGUUUGGAGGAAUCUAUGGAAGACCUUUUUCUUAAAGUUUUAAAGCAGAAAUUCCUCAACAGUUUUGCUGGCAUGUGGAUAGUAAAUCACCUGAAGAUGGGAGCAAGUGUCGAUUCGUAGGGCGUAAGCAUAUACAAACCGGAAAAUGCAGCACAAAAUUAAUUAGACUUCAAAUUAAUCAUGUUUAAUUAUUACUAGUAUUUAAUCGCGAAUCUAGCCUACUCGUGCUUAGGGAAUUAAAUACAAAAAACAUCCUAUGCUCACACUGGUUCUUUUUUCUUUUUUUUUUCGUAGUGUUUGUUGGUAUUCUUGUAAAUAGCCACUCUAUUCCCCUCAUUCAUUUCAAUCUCUCUUACUAAAACCCGUGUCAAAAGUAAAGUGGCAUAUUUUUGGUGGACGGAGGGAGUAGUAUUUAAUCGCGAAUCUAGCCUACUCGUGCUUAGGGAAUUAAAUACAAAAAACAUCCUAUGCUCACACUGGUUCUUUUU
RNAcentral lists this long non-coding RNA (2660 nucleotides) under Salvia miltiorrhiza (redroot sage). RNAcentral's name for it is "long non-coding RNA (SMIL_LNC007870)". The record is from RNAcentral. Lineage: Eukaryota; Viridiplantae; Streptophyta; Magnoliopsida; Lamiales; Lamiaceae.